UGGGGAAUAUUGCACAAUGGGCGCAAGCCUGAUGCAGCCAUGCCGCGUGUGUGAAGAAGGCCUUCGGGUUGUAAAGCACUUUCAGCGGGGAGGAAGGCGUUAAGGUUAAUAACCUUGGCGAUUGACGUUACCCGCAGAAGAAGCACCGGCUAACUCCGUGCCAGCAGCCGCGGUAAUACGGAGGGUGCAAGCGUUAAUCGGAAUUACUGGGCGUAAAGCGCACGCAGGCGGUCUGUAAAGUCGGAUGUGAAAUCCCCGGGCUCAACCUGGGAACUGCAUUCGAAACUGGCAGGCUAGAGUCUUGUAGAGGGGGGUAGAAUUCCAUGUGUAGCGGUGAAAUGCGUAGAGAUGUGGAGGAAUACCGGUGGCGAAGGCGGCCCCCUGGACAAAGACUGACGCUCAGGUGCGAAAGCGUGGGGAGCAAACAGG
Molecule: ribosomal RNA, 429 nt
Filed under: Chloroflexota bacterium
Lineage: Bacteria; Bacillati; Chloroflexota
Description: Chloroflexi bacterium partial 16S ribosomal RNA
Rfam family: Bacterial small subunit ribosomal RNA
Source: RNAcentral